CGGCAACAGCUCAAAUUUGAAAUCUGGCCCUUGUGGUCCGAGUUGUAAUUUGUAGAGGAUGCUUUUGGUUAGGUGCCUUCCGAGUUCCCUGGAACGGGACGCCAUAGAGGGUGAGAGCCCCGUCUGGUUGGACACCGAGCCUCUGUAAAGCUCCUUCGACGAGUCGAGUAGUUUGGGAAUGCUGCUCUAAAUGGGAGGUAUAUGUCUUCUAAAGCUAAAUAUUGGCCAGAGACCGAUAGCGCACAAGUAGAGUGAUCGAAAGAUGAAAAGCACUUUGAAAAGAGGGUUAAAAAGUACGUGAAAUUGUUGAAAGGGAAGCGCUUGUGACCAGACUUGGGCCCGGUCAAUCAUCCAGGGUUCUCCCUGGUGCACUUUUCCGGCUCAGGCCAGCAUCAGUUUGUCGCGGGGGAUAAAGACGUUGGGAAUGUGGCUCCUCCGGGAGUGUUAUAGCCCUUCGUGUAAUACCCUGCUUCGGACUGAGGUUCGCGCAUCUGCAAGGAUGCUGGCGUAAUGGUCAUCAGCGACCCGUCUUGAAACACGGACCAAGGAGUCGUCUUCGUAUGCGAGUGUUCGGGUAUCAAACCCCUACGCGUAAUGAAAGUGAACGCAGGUGAGAGCUUCGGCGCAUCAUCGACCGAUCCUGAUGUUCUCGGAUGGAUUUGAGUAAGAGCAUACGGGGCCGGACCCGAAAGAAGGUGAACUAUGCCUGUAUAGGGUGAAGCCAGAGGAAACUCUGGUGGAGGCUCGCAGCGGUUCUGACGUGCAAAUCGAUCGUCAAAUAUGGGCAUGGGGGCGAA
RNAcentral lists this ribosomal RNA (797 nucleotides) under Nectria pseudotrichia. RNAcentral's name for it is "eukaryotic LSU rRNA". It matches the Rfam family "Eukaryotic large subunit ribosomal RNA", at positions 99 to 927 of the family's 3401-position model. Lineage: Eukaryota; Fungi; Ascomycota; Sordariomycetes; Hypocreales; Nectriaceae. The record is from RNAcentral.